Molecule: ribosomal RNA, 405 nt
Filed under: Verrucomicrobiota bacterium
Lineage: Bacteria; Pseudomonadati; Verrucomicrobiota
Description: Verrucomicrobia bacterium partial 16S ribosomal RNA
Rfam family: Bacterial small subunit ribosomal RNA
Source: RNAcentral
CAAGGAAUUUUCCGCAAUGGGGGCAACCCUGACGGAGCAACGCCGCGUGCGGGAUGACGCUUUUCGGAGUGUAAACCGCUUUUCUUGGGGAGGACGACGGACAGUACCCGAGGAAGAAGGCCCGGCUAACUACGUGCCAGCAGCCGCGGUAAUACGUAGGGGCCGAGCGUUGUCCGGAGUUAUUGGGCGUAAAGCGCGCGCAGGCGGCUUCGCGCGCCCGACGUGAAAGCCCCCGGCUUAACCGGGGAGAGUCGUUGGGGACGGCGGGGCUUGAGGGCGGGAGAGGUCGGUGGAAUUCCUAGUGUAGCGGUGAAAUGCGUAGAGAUUAGGAGGAAUACCGGUGGCGAAGGCGACUUUCUGGACUUUUACUGACGCUCAGGUACGAAAGCGUGGGGAGCAAACAGG